AAGACUGUACUUUCAGGGAUCAUUUCUAUAGUUCGUUACUAGAGAAGUUUCUCUGAACGUGUAGGAAUGCUGAGCAGAUCACAAGA
This 86-nucleotide small nucleolar RNA is filed under the name Zalophus californianus (California sea lion). Its description in RNAcentral is "Small nucleolar RNA U3 (ENSZCAG00015007601.1)". It matches the Rfam family "Small nucleolar RNA U3", at positions 1 to 90 of the family's 219-position model. Rfam says of the family: Small nucleolar RNAs (snoRNAs) are involved in the processing and modification of rRNA in the nucleolus. There are two main classes of snoRNAs: the box C/D class, and the box H/ACA class. Lineage: Eukaryota; Metazoa; Chordata; Mammalia; Carnivora; Otariidae. The record is from RNAcentral.